This 209-nucleotide ribosomal RNA is filed under the name uncultured bacterium. Its description in RNAcentral is "partial 16S ribosomal RNA". It matches the Rfam family "Bacterial small subunit ribosomal RNA", at positions 1283 to 1500 of the family's 1533-position model. The record is from RNAcentral.
ACGUCUCAGUUCGGACUGCAGGCUGCAACCCGCCUGCACGAAGCUGGAAUCGCUAGUAAUCGCGAAUCAGAAUGUCGCGGUGAAUACGUUCCCGGGCCUUGUACACACCGCCCGUCAAGCCAUGGAAGCCGGGGGCGCCUGAAGUCCGGGACCGCGAGGACCGGCCUAGGGCGAAACUGGUGACUGGGGCUAAGUCGUAACAAGGUAAC